RNAcentral lists this unclassified non-coding RNA (887 nucleotides) under Hevea brasiliensis (rubber tree). Lineage: Eukaryota; Viridiplantae; Streptophyta; Magnoliopsida; Malpighiales; Euphorbiaceae. The record is from RNAcentral.
AGCAGUUUCACCAACUGGAGUUCUACACAUUAUGUUACAACAACAAAAGGAAGAUACAAAUCUAAAACAUUACAAUGAAAACUAAGUUUAGUCUCACUUCCUACAUCGCCAAGACGACACUGAGAAAAGUGGGCGAUCCUGCCAGCAUAUCACCACGCAACCAUUAUCUUCUUUGAUCUUGUAUCCUUCACAACUGUAACUCUGCAACAACCUUCUUGCCUGCAACAUAGCAUAAUAACUCAAAGGCACAUUCCCAAAACCAGAUGUGUCGAAUCUUUGGAACCACUUUUCGAGCUUUUCAUGCCUCUCCUUUCGUUCGAUCCCUUCACAUGCUAUAAUGUUUCUAAUCUCUUCACCUAAUAACAUCUUUUCCACCUUUAAUCUCUCUAAUGAUGUUCUUGGCAGCGUCGAUUCAAGACAAUCAAAUAAUGCAGCAUAAAAAUGUAACGACUCUGAUAGCCUCUCCAUAAGAGUUGUCCCAUUAUGGUUAGCAUCUUGUUCUGUUACCACCAUAACUUUUGGUGAUAAACCCCACAAAGCAUUGAGGAAACUAUCCAUCUUUGUUGAACCAGUUGAACAUAGCGGGGAUGAAGAAGCGGUGUCAUUGCUUGGACUGCAACCAUUAGCCAUAUCUUUUUCAAGAAAUUCCCCUAAAGUAUUUUGGUUGACUAGUGCCCUGUUUAAGUUAACACCAUUUGAAUGCUUAAAAGGCAAAGGGGACUUCUUGUCAUUAUCAUGGGCUAGAAGGGUGUGCAAUUGCAUAAUUGAACUAAUCGCAAGAGCCUCCCCCGUUUUCACGCGAAGUUUCUCAACAUCAAGAUUUUCCAAUCUGCUAACUACUUGAUUGAACUGAAAAGGGAUAUCCAGUUUUUCUGCUUCUUGAGUAA